CACUGAACAAAAUUUCAGUUCAGAUCACAUACUCGAACCGACCUGACCGCGUAGCUCAGUUGGCAGAGCAUUGGGCUAGUAUUCCAAAGGUCGUAGGUUCGAUUCCCACCGUGGCCAGCCAGGCCAGGCAUAUUUUUCAAGCCGGCCCGGUGUGGAUGUACACUCAGAGUAACAUCACAAGCAUCUUAUUCACCUGAGUACAUUACACCAACACAGCAAAUACUUUGUUAGUCAAUGUCAGUAACAUUCAACCGGUCAUUAAUACUGAACGUCAUUAAGAUGACCUUGACCAAUGCAGAAGCCUCAAAAUUAGAGACGUGACCUCGAUUUCGGCCCACAUGACGCGCAUGGACUCGCCGCUAGUUGUUCCAAUGAGUCUGAUAUCGUCGGCACGUAACAAGUUGUUAACAAGCUCGAAGUCAUUGUAACAAGAACAACUUGUAGCAAGUCUGUUACCGUCAUCAACCUUGUAACAAGGUGAUAACAACUUGUUCCAGACUUGUCACAACAACUGGGCAGAAGCAGACGAACACAUCCUGACAUCGGUUUGGCAACAUACUUACACAGAUCGCGCCACUGCCAAGUGCCAACUCUGUAUGACGCUUUUAUUGUAUUUGUUUAUUUUAUUUUACCAGCUUUAUUGGACAUAAAAUUACAGGAAAUAGAGACCCAUGCAAGGCACAGCUCGGAAAAUAUGAAAUAAAAACAUGUUGAAAUUAUAAAAUAGGGAAGCUAAUCUAUAAUAGCUUCUUCUAUAACAGCUUGAAUUUCUAGGGAUCGAAGCUGUCAGGAAAAUCGUACAAGUUUGCGCAACGAGACAAUGGCACUUAUAAUAUCGAGGAAGCAAGCGAUCUAAUCGCAUCCCAUUUCGUACACAAAUAAAAAAAAACUCUUGAGUUUAUAAGGGACUCUUUAUAUGAGCCCGGUUUGUCGGGAAGCUGUCCUAAGUGCGAGGAUGAUGUCUGUCUGCGUUCAUUCAUAUCCUGCCGCGGUGGGACGAAAAUACGAUAGCUUAAUGCCUUCCAAAUACAGACGUAUGAGACAGGGGGCUGGGGGGGGGGGGAAACAGUUUAGAACUGAUAGAGCUAUCCAGUAUAAAUAAAGUUUGUUUAGUUUAGGUUUUCUCCUUGUAGUGACACUGGAUCAAUAAGAGAUGAUUCCUACUGGACUUCUAGGAAGAACAGUUUAGAACUGAUAGAGCUAUCCAGUAUAAAUAAAGUUUGUUUAGUUUAGGUUUCCUCCUGUAGUAACACUGGAUCAAUAAGAGAUGAUUCUUACUGGACUUCUAGGAAGAACAGUUUAGAACUGAUAGAGCUAUCCAGUAUAAAUAAAGUUAGUUUAGUUUAGGUUUCCUCCUGUAGUGACACUGGAUCAAUAAGAGAUGAUUCUUACUGGACUUCUAGGAAGAACAGUUUAGAACUGAUAGAGCUAUCCAGUAUAAAUAAAGUUACUUUAGUUUAGGUUUCCUCCUGUAGUGACGCUGGAUCAAUAAGAGAUGAUUCUUACUGGACUUCUAGGAAGAACAGUUUAGAACUGAUAGAGCUAUCCAGUAUAAAUAAAGUUAGUUUAGUUUAGGUUUCCUCCUGUAGUGACGCUGGAUCAAUAAGAGAUGAUUCUUACUGGACUUCUAGGAAGAACAGUUUAGAACUGAUAGAGCUAUCCAGUAUAAAUAAAGUUAGUUUAGUUUAGGUUUCCUCCUGUAGUGACGCUGGAUCAAUAAGAGAUGAUUCUUACUGGACUUCUAGGAAGAACAGUUUAGAACUGAUAGAG
Molecule: transfer RNA, 1770 nt
Filed under: Paramuricea clavata
Lineage: Eukaryota; Metazoa; Cnidaria; Anthozoa; Malacalcyonacea; Plexauridae
Rfam family: tRNA (bases 45-117)
Source: RNAcentral